UGUAGCUGUAGGCAAUACCCCACAAAAUCCUUACUAGAAAAAAAGAAAGGAAAAGAGAAACCCCAAAACAAAUUGUAGAACGGAAAAGCCAGGACAUACUUACCAAUUCGUUUUGGGAAUGAAUAACUAAAUAUAUCAAUAACACAGGGCUUAAAAUACUUACCGGGGAUAAAUGCAUGCUCAGGAUCAAUGGUCUAAAAAUAUUGCAAGGGGGUUGACUGAUUACUUCAUUCAUCCUCCUGUCCACAUUCCACCCGAAAAAGUAAGAAGAGAUAAAACGGCUGAGGCCAAACACCGAUUCUAUAGAUACAUGACAUAAAACCCCCGUAGCAGAAAACACCCAACCAGAAAACAAAAUUCAAAGUCAACAAUCACCAACAUGAAGGCGUAACUAAAAAUAAUGGAAACAAAUAAGACAUGAACCUAAAAUGCAAGAUGCAAAGAGGCUGCAUCAAUUUUGAUAUCAAAAGCGACCGAAGCUGCCCAUGAUACGUUUUCAAAUAAAAUUCAGAAUGGACACAAAAAGUAUUUAUUCUUUACAUUCCAAAUCACCUUAAGCAACCAACAAAAUUACCGCGGCAAUCAUCAAUCCAUUCAAUCCCAUUGAUACGCUGGCUUUUGAGGAGGCGGCCGACGUCGUACUAGAGCUGGAUGAGGAGCUAGAAGUGUAAGAAGUGCUGCUUGAAGUAGAAGCAGUCUUUACAUCGUCAUCAGAACCAGAUGUGGCGGUAGUGUUGCUGACAGUUUGGAAACCAGAGCUCAAGUACGUAGAUGUGAAGGUGGUGGGAUCGAUAGUAGUAAGGUCACCGGUGGUAAUUGUUACGUUGCCAGUAAUGGUAGCGGUAACAUUCGAUACAAUGGUGGAGUUGCUACUGUUCCAGAUAGAAGUGGUGUUCAUACCUUGAGUAGUGUUGCUAUAACUAGGAUAUCCUGAGCCACCUGGACCUGGGGUAAAGCUAGUAGUAGGAGGAGCGCUAACACUGCUACUUGGGUUACCUGGGUUAACAGGGAUGAUGGUGGUAGUACCGCCGAUUAUGGUAGUAGUGAAGGAGAAGGUACUGGUGAAUGUGGUAGGCUCAGUGUAAGUAGCAGUACCCUCGGUCGUUUCAGUUCCGGUAGUAACGGUUGGUUCGUUGGUAGGAGCAGCUGUUGGGUUACCGCCGCCAGUUCCACUUGCAGUGGUGGGUUCAAUGGUAGAAGUUAUAAUCUCAGUAGUUUCAAAUGUCGAAGUUUCAGUAACUUCGGUAACACCAGUCGUGGUUCCAGUACCGGUGGAAGUAACGGAGCUUCCAGUACUAGUGGUAGGAACGACACUGCCCUGAGAGGAACUUCCAGUGGGACGAGUACCGGUUGCAGAACCAGAAGUAGAACCAAAGGUUUCAGUAGGGAUGAUGCUGCUAGUCAAAGUAGAGCUCAAUCUGCUAAAGGUAGAAGAUCCACUUGAAGGAUAAGCGCUAGAAUUGCUCAAAGGAGUGGAAACACUGCUAGUGGGUAAGCCGGAUGUAGUAUUGAAACCAGAGGAAGUGAAGGUGCUAGUAGGAGCAACGGUGGAGUUGCUCAAAGGAGUGGAAGCACUGCUAGUUGGCAAGCCGGAAGUAGUGUUGAAACCUGAUGAAGUGAAGGUGCUAGUGGGUACAAUACUAGAGUUACUUGAAGGAGUGGAAGCACUGCUAGUAGGCAAGCCGGAAGUAGUGUUGAAACCAGAGGAAGUGAAGGUGCUAGUAGGAGCAACGGUGGAGUUGCUCAAUGGAGUGGAAGCACUGCUAGUUGGCAAGCCGGAAGUAGUGUUGAAACCUGAUGAAGUGAAGGUGCUAGUGGGAGCAACGGUGGAGUUGCUCAAUGGAGUAGAGGUAGGAGUGGUGACACUUCCACUAACAUCCCCAUUUCCACUAUUCGUGUUGGUAAAUUCACCAGUUGAGCCAGAAGCAGAAGAGGUGAUGGUAGAGUUACCGAAGGGAGUGGAACUAGCAGAAGUGGCAGUGGUACUGUUGACACUGGUCAAAGGAGUAGAGCUAGCAGAGGUGGCAGUAGUGCUAUUGGCACUGCUCAAAGGAGUGGAGCUAACUGAGCUAGUAGGCAAAACUGAGCUGGUGUUGUAGCUGGGGGCAGUGGAACUAACAGAAGUGCUAGUGGUACUGUUGGCGCUGGUCAAAGGAGUGGAACUAGCAGAAGUGGCGGAGGUGCUAUUGACACUAGUCAAAGGAGUAGAACUAGCAGAAGUGGCAGUGGUACUGUUGACACUGGUCAAAGGAGUAGAGCUAGCAGAGGUGGCAGUAGUGCUGUUAACGCUGCUCAGAGGAGUAGAGCUAGCAGAGGUGGCAGUAGUGCUGUUAACGCUGCUCAGAGGAGUAGAGCUAGCAGAGGUGGCAGUAGUGCUAUUGGCACUGCUCAAAGGAGUGGAGCUAACUGAGCUAGUAGGCAAAACUGAGCUGGUGUUGUAGCUGGGGGCAGUGGAACUAACAGAAGUGCUAGUGGUACUGUUGGCGCUGGUCAAAGGAGUGGAACUAGCAGAAGUGGCGGAGGUGCUAUUGACACUAGUCAAAGGAGUAGAACUAGCAGAAGUGGCAGUGGUACUGUUGACACUGGUCAAAGGAGUAGAGCUAGCAGAGGUGGCAGUAGUGCUGUUAACGCUACUCAGAGGAGUAGAGCUAGUAGAGGUGGCAGUAGUGCUGUUGGCACUGCUCACGCUGCUCAAAGGGGUAGAGCUAGCAGAAGUGGUAGUGGUACUGUUGACACUGGUCAAAGGAGUGGAACUAGCAGAAGUGGCAGUAGUGCUGUUGGCGCUGCUCAAAGGAGUAGAGCUAGGAGUGCUACUAGGCAAAAGUGAACUGGUGUUGUACUGGGCGGAGCUGGAAGUUGCAGAAGCGCUAGUGGCCGCAGUAGUACUGUUCGACGAAGUCAAAGGAGUAGAGCUGGAGACGGUUGAACUUAUGCUUGAGCUAGUAGCGGUAGCAGAGGUAGUCGAGUUCAAAGAACUAGAAGCCAAACUGGAGCUAGUAGCAGAGUUGGAAGCAGCGGUCGAGGACAGGCUGGAGCUAGUAGCGGUAGCAGAGGUAGUCGAGUUCAAAGAACUAGAAGCCAAACUAGAGCUAGUAGCAGAGUUGGAAGCAGCGGUCGAGGACAGGCUGGAGCUAGUAGCAGAGCUAGUAGGGGUAGCGGAAGUAGUAGAGUUUGUAGAGCUAGAAGCCAAAGAGGAGCUAGUAGUAGAACUGGAAGCCAAAGAGGAGCUAGUAAUAGAACUAGAAGCCAAAGAGGAGCUAGUAAUAGAACUAGAAGCCAAAGAGGAGCUAGUAGUAGAACUAGAAGCCAAAGAAGAGCUAGUAGCAGAGCUAGAAGUCAAGGACGAGCUAGUUGGGGAAGCUGAAGUAGUAGAGUUUGUAGAGCUUGAAGCCAAAGAAGAACUAGAAGUCAAGGAGGAGCUAGC
This is a non-coding RNA of Schizosaccharomyces pombe (fission yeast), 3424 nucleotides long. NCBI's taxonomy places the organism in Eukaryota, Fungi, Ascomycota, Schizosaccharomycetes, Schizosaccharomycetales, Schizosaccharomycetaceae. The record is from the annotation of a GenBank genome assembly.